RNAcentral lists this transfer RNA (71 nucleotides) under Loxodonta africana (African savanna elephant). It matches the Rfam family "tRNA". Rfam says of the family: Transfer RNA (tRNA) molecules are approximately 80 nucleotides in length. Lineage: Eukaryota; Metazoa; Chordata; Mammalia; Proboscidea; Elephantidae. The record is from Rfam by way of RNAcentral.
GCAUCGGUGGUUCAGUGGGAGAAUUCUCACCUUCUAUGUGGGAGAUUUGGGUCUGAUUCCUGGCCAAUGCA